Molecule: ribosomal RNA, 201 nt
Filed under: uncultured bacterium
Lineage: Bacteria
Description: partial 16S ribosomal RNA
Rfam family: Bacterial small subunit ribosomal RNA
Source: RNAcentral
UACGUAGGGUGCGAGCGUUGCCCGGAUUUAUUGGGCGAAAAGGCUUGUAGGUGGCCAUGCGAAGUCGGAUGUGAAAUCUCCCGGCUCAACUGGGAGGGGUCAUUCGAUACUGGCAGGCUCGAGGCCGGUAGGGGGUAGCGGAAUUCCCGGUGUAGUGGUGGAAUGCGUAGAUAUCGGGGAGGAACACCAGUGGCGAAGGCG